This 397-nucleotide ribosomal RNA is filed under the name uncultured bacterium. RNAcentral describes it as "partial 16S ribosomal RNA". It matches the Rfam family "Bacterial small subunit ribosomal RNA", at positions 523 to 918 of the family's 1533-position model. The record is from RNAcentral.
AUACGAAGGGUACAAGCGUUACUCGGAAUUACUGGGCGUAAAGCGUGCGUAGGUGGUUGUUUAAGUCUGUCGUGAAAGCCCUGGGCUCAACCUGGGAAUGGCGAUGGAAACUGGGCGACUAGAGUGUGGCAGAGGGUAGUGGAAUUCCUGGUGUAGCAGUGAAAUGCGUAGAGAUCAGGAGGAACAUCCGUGGCGAAGGCGACUGCCUGGGCCAACACUGACACUGAGGCACGAAAGCGUGGGGAGCAAACAGGAUUAGAUACCCUGGUAGUCCACGCCCUAAACGAUGCGAACUGGAUGUUGGGUGCAAUUUGGCACGCAGUAUCGAAGCUAACGCGUUAAGUUCGCCGCCUGGGGAGUACGGUCGCAAGACUGAAACUCAAAGGAAUUGACGGGG